This 279-nucleotide ribosomal RNA is filed under the name Phocaeicola plebeius DSM 17135. RNAcentral's name for it is "partial 16S ribosomal RNA". It matches the Rfam family "Bacterial small subunit ribosomal RNA", at positions 498 to 776 of the family's 1533-position model. The record is from RNAcentral. Lineage: Bacteria; Pseudomonadati; Bacteroidota; Bacteroidia; Bacteroidales; Bacteroidaceae.
UAUGUAAUUGCCAGCAGCCGCGGUAAUACGGAGGAUGCGAGCGUUAUCCGGAUUUAUUGGGUUUAAAGGGAGCGCAGACGGGUCGUUAAGUCAGCUGUGAAAGUUUGGGGCUCAACCUUAAAAUUGCAGUUGAUACUGGCGUCCUUGAGUGCGGUUGAGGUGUGCGGAAUUCGUGGUGUAGCGGUGAAAUGCUUAGAUAUCACGAAGAACUCCGAUUGCGAAGGCAGCACACUAAUCCGUAACUGACGUUCAUGCUCGAAAGUGUGGGUAUCAAACAGG